GAACCGGUGGCCAGAGUGGUCGAAGGCGGCGGGCUUUUAACCCGAUCCCGUAAGGGCGUCGUGAGUUCGAAUCUCACCCGGUUCUCCA
RNAcentral lists this transfer RNA (88 nucleotides) under Mesorhizobium phage Cp1R7A-A1. RNAcentral describes it as "tRNA-Lys". It matches the Rfam family "tRNA". From Rfam's summary of the family: Transfer RNA (tRNA) molecules are approximately 80 nucleotides in length. Their secondary structure includes four short double-helical elements and three loops (D, anti-codon, and T loops). The record is from RNAcentral. Lineage: Duplodnaviria; Heunggongvirae; Uroviricota; Caudoviricetes.